AGCGUCGAAGUGAAAUGAUACGAAAUUCGAGCCUCACACCAAUUUGUUCCCCAAUUUUACACAACUUCCAUCAGAAACGACAAUAAAUAGUAGAUUAGAAGAAAAGAUCCGCUAUGAGCGCAAGAAUCUCAACUAGAAACCAAGUCACUCACCACCAACUUGCGCAACAAUCCGUGAAAAAGAACCCAAGCCCAAGCCCAUAAUCCCCAAAACAGAAAUCCCUAACCAUUUCCAACAAAAACAUGCACAAAUUUCCAAGUUCACCAUCAGAUCACAUCCUUGAAGCAAGAAAAAUCUUCCUAGAUUUAGCAAAAAUUAAAAGUAAACCUCAAAAUUGAAUGUUUUCAAGCGUAUCUUUAAGGGGGGUUUACGAUCUCCCAAAAAAAGGCGACAUGCUUUUAUUAACAUAAAACUGAAAAUUAAAAUCUUACUAGGGUUUUGGAAUUGAGCGAUGAGGGGGAUCUCCACAGGUUUUAAGCUGUAGAGGAAAAGCUAGCUUUUAAGCUGAUAAUGAGUGAUCUAAGUUAGCAACUCACUU
RNAcentral lists this long non-coding RNA (538 nucleotides) under Salvia miltiorrhiza (redroot sage). RNAcentral's name for it is "long non-coding RNA (SMIL_LNC012485)". The record is from RNAcentral. Lineage: Eukaryota; Viridiplantae; Streptophyta; Magnoliopsida; Lamiales; Lamiaceae.